RNAcentral lists this ribosomal RNA (901 nucleotides) under marine metagenome. Its description in RNAcentral is "bacterial SSU rRNA". It matches the Rfam family "Bacterial small subunit ribosomal RNA", at positions 43 to 992 of the family's 1533-position model. The record is from RNAcentral.
CACGCCUAACACAUGCAAGUCGAACGAAGUAGCAAUACUUAGUGGCAGACGGGUGAGUAACAUGUAGGUAUCUACCCUUUGGCCUGGAAUAACACGAGGAAACUUGUGCUAAUACCGGAUAAGUCUUUACGGAGAAAGCUUUAUGCACCAUUGGAUGAGCCUGCACUUGAUUAGUUUGUUGGUGGGGUAAUGGCCUACCAAGACUGUGAUCAAUAGCUGAUUUGAGAGGAUGAUCAGCCACAUUGGGACUGAGACACGGCCCAAACUCCUACGGGAGGCAGCAGUGGGGAAUCUUGCACAAUGGAGGAAACUCUGAUGCAGCGAUGCCGCGUGAGUGAAGAAGGCCCUUGGGUUGUAAAGCUCUUUCGUCGGGGAAGAAAAUGACUGUACCCGAAUAAGAAGGUCCGGCUAACUUCGUGCCAGCAGCCGCGGUAAUACGAAGGGACCUAGCGUAGUUCGGAAUUACUGGGCUUAAAGAGUUCGUAGGUGGUUGAAAAAGUUGGUGGUGAAAUCCCAGAGCUUAACUCUGGAACUGCCAUCAAAACUUUUCAGCUAGAGUAUGAUAGAGGAAAGCAGAAUUUCUAGUGUAGAGGUGAAAUUCGUAGAUAUUAGAAAGAAUACCAAUUGCGAAGGCAGCUUUCUGGAUCAUUACUGACGCUGAGGAACGAAAGCAUGGGUAGCGAAGAGGAUUAGAUACCCUCGUAGUCCAUGCCGUAAACGAUGUGUGUUAGACGUUGGAAAUUUAUUUUCAGUGUCGCAGCGAAAGCGAUAAACACACCGCCUGGGGAGUACGACCGCAAGGUUAAAACUCAAAUGAAUUGACGGGGACCCGCACAAGUAGUGGAGCAUGUGGUUUAAUUCGAAGAUACGCGCAGAACCUUACCAACACUUGACAUGUUCG